This 253-nucleotide ribosomal RNA is filed under the name uncultured bacterium. Its description in RNAcentral is "partial 16S ribosomal RNA". It matches the Rfam family "Bacterial small subunit ribosomal RNA", at positions 524 to 776 of the family's 1533-position model. The record is from RNAcentral.
UACGAAGGGGGCUAGCGUUGCUCGGAAUCACUGGGCGUAAAGCGCACGUAGGCGGAUUGUUAAGUCAGGGGUGAAAUCCUGGAGCUCAACUCCAGAACUGCCUUUGAUACUGGCGAUCUUGAGUCCGGGAGAGGUGAGUGGAACUCCGAGUGUAGAGGUGAAAUUCGUAGAUAUUCGGAAGAACACCAGUGGCGAAGGCGGCCUUCUGGACCAGUACUGACGCUCAUGCACGAAAGCGUGGGGAGCAAACAGG